GUCUCAAAGCUCAGUUGGCUGGAGCAUGGUACUAAUACUGCCAAGGUUGUCAGUUUGAUCCCUGCAUGGGUCA
Molecule: non-coding RNA, 73 nt
Organism: Lamprotornis superbus
Lineage: Eukaryota; Metazoa; Chordata; Aves; Passeriformes; Sturnidae
Source: the annotation of a GenBank genome assembly